RNAcentral lists this long non-coding RNA (676 nucleotides) under Sarcophilus harrisii (Tasmanian devil). RNAcentral describes it as "lncRNA (ENSSHAG00000026223.1)". The record is from RNAcentral. Lineage: Eukaryota; Metazoa; Chordata; Mammalia; Dasyuromorphia; Dasyuridae.
CUGACCAACUGCAGAGAUGGCAUGACGGACAGCUGGGGGGGGGCGGUCCCGGGAGCCUCUCCGGCCAAUUGUCCGAGGGCUCGUGACCUUUGACCCGAGGUCCCCCCCCUCCCCGGGGGGCAGGAAUGGGAAGGCGGUAGGUGCCACAGAGACUGUCAGAGAAGCAUUUGGGGGAUGGAGAAGAUGGCAGGAAAGGAGAGAGCAAGCGCCCCCCGGCCGGGGAACCUCAGCGCCAACGGCAAGCACGGGCACGGCCCUGCUGUGCAACUGCUAGUGGAUGCGAGAGGGGAGGCUCCCUGCAGCCAGGAGAUGUUUCUUUCGGCACCAAGCCCGGUCCUGGGGGCGCUCAACAAACGCACACACGGACUCGCUGAGAGCGUGAGGUCUCCCCCACAUUAUUGGGGUCCCCUCAGCCACUGGAACCCAGGUUCUGCCCUGCCCCCGCUCUGAGUUGGCAAGGGCUGGGUCCACAAGUCCUUGGUAAGCAGCAUGUGACGGCGGCAGACACUUUUGUUGUGCUUUGGAAUAUAAUGAAUUUUUAAAAGACAAGUGUCUCCAAAAUGUCUUUUAGAGCCCGGCCUGCCUGCCUGCCGUGGGGACCGUGCCGUCCAAGGGCCAGGUUUGCUUUGUUGUUAUCAAGAACAUUCCUUGCAAGCUGUGACUCCUUUCUGGCCUC